RNAcentral lists this non-coding RNA (24 nucleotides) under Bos taurus (domestic cattle). The record is from RNAcentral. Lineage: Eukaryota; Metazoa; Chordata; Mammalia; Artiodactyla; Bovidae. RNAcentral also lists the same sequence under 1 other name.
AAUGCCUGCUGGGAGCUCUACUGC